GAGAGAGAGAGAGAGAGAGAGAGAGACUGGAGAUGGGAGUGGCGAACAAAGCAGGGGACUAGGCAUUCAAGGCCUUCACGGCGGGCCUCGGCGUCGCCACCAUCUAUCUCGCCACCACCUUCUCCGUCAAUGUCUAGCGCGGCCUCUCCUGGCAUAACGCCCAAUCGGUCUCUCCCUCUCUCUCACACACACACAACCCUAUGAUAUUUGUCUGUAACUCUUGUUGGUGAUGCUUUGUGGUGAUUAUGCCUAAUUUUCAUGCGAUCUGUAUUCGUCAGUCUUCUAAUGAGGCUUACGUGACUCUUCUAUACGGCGAUGAGUUCUUACCGGGUGUUCGAGUUCUCGGGAAGUCGAUUCGGGACACAGGAUCUACUAAGGACAUGGUUGUUCUUGUCUCUGAUGGUGUUUCGGAAUAUGCCACGAAGCUCCUCUAGAGAGGACAUUGUCAAUAUGAAGUUGUUGCUCACCUGGUAGAGGUUGUGGACUUUAGAGUAUUAAAAUUACCAGUUAUUUUCUCUAUUUCGCUGCUAAUAAAAUUGAGGGAAUUUUUCUUUUGAAUCUUGUGUUAAGUUAUUUUGGUUUUAAGAUUAGAACAAAUCCAUAAGAAACUCACUUCAAUCAGUUGAGGAGAGGUUUGUUGCUUUUUCUAAUAAUAUCUGGUUUCUAGUCGUAACUUAUGUUAUUUCCUUAUGCUUUCUUGGUUGAUAGAUAUUGUUUCUUGGUUGAUACAUAUUCUUUUUAUCAAUUGGCUAAUUUAGUUUUUGGGAAUAGACAAUUAUUGUUUCUUGGUUGAUAGAAAGGUUCCUAUUAUU
Non-coding RNA from Camellia sinensis, 812 nucleotides. The record is from RefSeq and is a predicted model, not a curated record. Lineage: Eukaryota; Viridiplantae; Streptophyta; Magnoliopsida; Ericales; Theaceae.